Molecule: ribosomal RNA, 392 nt
Filed under: uncultured bacterium
Lineage: Bacteria
Description: partial 16S ribosomal RNA
Rfam family: Bacterial small subunit ribosomal RNA
Source: RNAcentral
AUACGUAGGUGGCAAGCGUUAUCCGGAAUUAUUGGGCGUAAAGAGGGAGCAGGCGGCAGCAAGGGUCUGUGGUGAAAGCCUGAAGCUUAACUUCAGUAAGCCAUAGAAACCAGGCAGCUAGAGUGCAGGAGAGGAUCGUGGAAUUCCAUGUGUAGCGGUGAAAUGCGUAGAUAUAUGGAGGCACACCAGUGGCGAAGGCGACGAUCUGGCCUGCAACUGACGCUCAGUCCCUAAAGCGUGGGGGGCAAAUAGGAUUAGAUACCCUAGUAGUCCACGCCGUAAACGAUGAGUACUAAGUGUUGGAUGUCAAAGUUCAGUGCUGCAGUUAACGCAAUAAGUACUCCGCCUGAGUAGUACGUUCGCAAGAAUGAAACUCAAAGUAAUUGACGGGG